AUGGUGGCAACUGCAUUAUUACCGUCGUCAAGCGCCACCCUCACCAAGUCCGGCGAGAACCUGUUCAAGUUUGCCUUCGUCGCGCUCAUCGAUACGGUCCUCGACGAUGUCAUCGCCACCACCCCACCAGCCAAAAUACCCGAAGUACAAGCGGCCGCGGAGAAGCAGGUGCAAGUCGCUAUUGCCAAAGUGGACACGGCCAAAGGAGACAAGGCGAAAUUAGAUGCGUUAAUGUUGGCCUACAAGAAGGCCGGUGAGCAAGUCCUCGCCACGCCGCCCGCUCAGAAGUUCUCGGUCAUGGAGAAAGGCUUUACUGAGGCUGCUUCUAGCCUAACUCUGUAA
Molecule: ribosomal RNA, 342 nt
Filed under: Triticum aestivum (bread wheat)
Lineage: Eukaryota; Viridiplantae; Streptophyta; Magnoliopsida; Poales; Poaceae
Description: partial small subunit ribosomal RNA
Source: RNAcentral